CGUAAACGAUGUGUGCUAGACGUUGGAAAUUAGUUUUCAGUGUCGCAGCAAAAGCGUUAAGCACACCGCCUGGGGAGUACGACCGCAAGGUUAAAACUCAAAUGAAUUGACGGGGACCCGCACAAGUAGUGGAGCAUGUGGUUUAAUUCGAAGAUACGCGCAGAACCUUACCAACACUUGACAUGUUCGUCGCGACUCUAAGAGAUUAGAGUUUUCGGUUCGGCCGGACGAAACACAGGUGCUGCAUGGCUGUCGUCAGCUCGUGUCGUGAGAUGUUGGGUUAAGUCCCGCAACGAGCGCAACCCUUACUUUUAGUUGCUACCAUUUAGUUGGGCACUCUAAAAGAACUGCCAGUGAUAAGCUGGAGGAAGGCGGGGAUGACGUCAAGUCCUCAUGGCCCUUAUGUGUUGGGCUACACACGUGCUACAAUGGUACCCACAGUGAGAAGCGAAGAGGCGACUCUAGGCCAACCUCUAAAAGGUACCUCAGUUCGGAUUGUACUCUGCCACUCGAGUACAUGAAGCUGGAAUUACUAGUAAUCGCGGAUCAGCGCGCCGCGGUGAAUACGUUCCCGGGUCUU
Molecule: ribosomal RNA, 580 nt
Filed under: uncultured Alphaproteobacteria bacterium
Lineage: Bacteria; Pseudomonadati; Pseudomonadota; Alphaproteobacteria
Description: bacterial SSU rRNA
Rfam family: Bacterial small subunit ribosomal RNA
Source: RNAcentral